Urocitellus parryii (Arctic ground squirrel) is the source of this 108-nucleotide small nucleolar RNA. Its record names the gene SNORA70. It matches the Rfam family "Small nucleolar RNA SNORA70". Rfam says of the family: snoRNA U70 seems to be exclusive to mammals and is a member of the H/ACA class of snoRNA which contain H (ANANNA) and ACA box motifs. The record is from Ensembl. Lineage: Eukaryota; Metazoa; Chordata; Mammalia; Rodentia; Sciuridae.
CUGCCUUUAAAAUAUGUUGACUUCCAGUGGCUGUGAAUAGCAACCUCCUCAGUAGAGUACACAGUCUGCUGUUUAUACAGGUUGCCCUUAUGGACCCUGAUGAUAGCC